UGACACCCUAAUAGAAUCGACUCUCUUUCAAAACGCAUAAUGGUUCCAAGGCUCACAGGUUUUCCACAACAGUUCAAUCUCAAAGAACGCAAUGCUAGCCUGCAAAAAGGUUAUAUAUUAGUCCAGACCAGUGCCAAGAUUCAAGUCUUGCAAGUUGGAAAUCCUGAGCAAACAGUGAUGUAAUCUUAUUGAAUGCGAUAAUUAAGUGGCUCACCAGUUUUAAGUUCCAAAAAAAAAAAGGGAAGAAGAUGCGAGGGGUGCAAGUGCAACACAAGAACUUUCUACGACGUCACCUAUCCUAGUAUUAUUUUUGCCCAAGCACAUUAAACUGCAGAGUUCUGAUACGGCGUAUUAGUGCCAAAAUUGAGUUUGUGGCAAGAGUUCAGUGGGGAGUGAACAAAUCAGGACCACCAGCUUUGGCCUUCUGCUUGAGAUAUUAUCACAAUGCUUGGGAGAGGGCCCUGUCAGUACAUGGCGCAUUCAGAAGCUGGUAUUGCUGGUAUGGGUUGACGGAAAAGCAAUGCAAACUUUGUUUGACUUGGAGCUUGCAUUGCCUCUUCAAAUGGAUUAGACAAAAAGAAACGAAGUCUCCAUGCUUUCUUGGUUUUGUUACAAAUGAUUAUGAAUUUGGUUCAACUCUGUUUUAGCAAAAAAAAGUGUUAUUCAAAGUUCUCGAUUCAGAAUUAGGGCAUCUAAUGAUCGUGAGCAACAAUGGUGUUAGCUACCAUAUAUGUAUUUGGAAGCUAGCACAAAAGAUGAAUGGGAUUCGGUCAUGUUCUCUCUCAAGAGGAGUUGUAGCAGAAAGAUGAUUGCUAUAAAAUUGCUUGAUUGGUCAUUAGAUAUAAAGGUGAAGACCAUAUGGGCAGUUCUUCCAUCUUGCAAAUAGAUCAUCUCUUGUCUAGGCAACAUUUUUGAAACGAUAUCUUCAUUUUCAUGUCUUCCAACUACUUUAUGCCCUAUUUGAUUUCAUGUUU
Molecule: RNA transcript, 974 nt
Organism: Tripterygium wilfordii
Lineage: Eukaryota; Viridiplantae; Streptophyta; Magnoliopsida; Celastrales; Celastraceae
Exons: 4
Source: RefSeq, a predicted model, not a curated record